RNAcentral lists this ribosomal RNA (512 nucleotides) under uncultured bacterium. RNAcentral's name for it is "bacterial SSU rRNA". It matches the Rfam family "Bacterial small subunit ribosomal RNA", at positions 15 to 518 of the family's 1533-position model. The record is from RNAcentral.
GAUCAUGGCUCAGGAUGAACGCUAGCUACAGGCUUAACACAUGCAAGUCGAGGGGCAGCAUGAUCUUAGCUUGCUAAGAUGAUGGCGACCGGCGCACGGGUGAGUAACGCGUAUCCAACCUUCCCUGUACUAGGGGAUAGCCCGGCGAAAGUCGGAUUAAUACCCUAUGUUUUCCGAAGCGAGCAUUUAAUUUGGAACAAAGGUUUACCGGUAUAGGAUGGGGAUGCGUCUGAUUAGAUAGUAGGCGGGGUAACGGCCCACCUAGUCGACGAUCAGUAGGGUUCUGAGAGGAAGGUCCCCCACAUUGGAACUGAGACACGGUCCAAACUCCUACGGGAGGCAGCAGUGAGGAAUAUUGGUCAAUGGGCGAGAGCCUGAACCAGCCAAGUAGCGUGCAGGAUGACGGCUCUAUGGGUUGUAAACUGCUUUUAUAUAGGGAUAAAGUGAGGGACGUGUCCCUUAUUGUAGGUACUAUAUGAAUAAGGACCGGCUAAUUCCGUGCCAGCCGCCGC